Molecule: ribosomal RNA, 155 nt
Filed under: Oidium sp. Ch-4
Lineage: Eukaryota; Fungi; Ascomycota; Leotiomycetes; Helotiales; Erysiphaceae
Description: 5.8S ribosomal RNA
Rfam family: 5.8S ribosomal RNA
About the family: 5.8S ribosomal RNA (5.8S rRNA) is a component of the large subunit of the eukaryotic ribosome. It is transcribed by RNA polymerase I as part of the 45S precursor that also contains 18S and 28S rRNA. Functionally, it is thought that 5.8S rRNA may be involved in ribosome translocation.
Source: RNAcentral
AAACUUUCAACAACGGAUCUCUUGGCUCUGGCAUCGAUGAAGAACGCAGCGAAAUGCGAUAAGUAAUGUGAAUUGCAGAAUUUAGUGAAUCAUCGAAUCUUUGAACGCACAUUGCGCCCCUUGGUAUUCCGAGGGGGCAUGUCUGUUCGAGCGUC